GGGAAGGGUAAGUGUAGCUGUAUAGAUGGAGAGGGAAGGGUAAGUGUAGCUGUAUAGAUGGGGAGGGAAGGGUAAGUGUAGCUGUAUAGAUGGAGAGGGAAGGGUAAGUGUAGCUGUAUAGAUGGAGAGGGAAGGGUAAGUGUAGCUGUAUAGAUGGAGAGGGAAGGGUAAGUGUAGCUGUAUAGAUGGGAAGGGUAAGUGUAGCUGUAUAGAUGGAGAGGGAAGGGUAAGUGUAGCUGUAUAGAUGGAGAGGGAAGGGUAAGUGUAGCUGUAUAGAUGGAGAGGGAAGGGUAAGUGUAGCUGUAUAGAUGGAGAGGGAAGGGUAAGUGUAGCUGUAUAGAUGGAGAGGGAAGGGUAAGUGUAGCUGUAUAGAUGGAGAGGGAAGGGUAAGUGUAGCUGUAUAGAUGGGGAGGGAAGGGUAAGUGUAGCUGUAUAGAUGGGGAGGGAAGGGUAAGUGUAGCUGUAUAGUUCUAAUAGAGAGGGAAGGGUAAGUGUAGCUGUAUAGAUGGUGGAGGGAAGGGUAAGUGUAGCUGUAUAGAUGGGGAGGGAAGGGUAAGUGUAGCUGUAUAGAUGGAGAGGGAAGGGUAAGUGUAGCUGUAUAGAUGGGGAGGGAAGGGUAAGUGUAGCUGUAUAGAUGGAGAGGGAAGGGUAAGUGUAGCUGUAUAGAUGGGGAGGGAAGGGUAAGUGUAGCUGUAUAGAUGGAGAGGGAAGGGUAAGUGUAGCUGUAUAGAUGGGGAGGGGAAGGGUAAGUGUAGCUGUAUAGAUGGAGAGGGAAGGGUAAGUGUAGCUGUAUAGAUGGAGAGGGAAGGGUAAGUGUAGCUGUAUAGAUAGAGAGGGAAGGGUAAGUGUAGCUGUAUAGAUGGGGAGGGAAGGGUAAGUGUAGCUGUAUAGAUGGUGGAGGGAAGGGUAAGUGUAGCUGUAUAGAUGGAGAGAGAAGGGUAAGUGUAGCUGUAUAGAUGGAGAGGGAAGGGUAAGUGUAGCUGUAUAGAUGGAGAGGGAAGGGUAAGUGUAGCUGUAUAGAUGGAGAGGGAAGGGUAAGUGUAGCUGUAUAGAUGGGAAGGGUAAGUGUAGCUGUAUAGAUGGGGAGGGAAGGGUAAGUGUAGCUGUAUAGAUGGAGAGGGAAGGGUAAGUGUAGCUGUAUAGAUGGAGAGGGAAGGGUAAGUGUAGCUGUUUAAAUGGAGAGGGAAGGGUAAGUGUAGCUGUAUAGAUGGAGAGGGAAGGGUAAGUGUAGCUGUAUAGAUGGUGGAGGGAAGGGUAAGUGUAGCUGUAUAGAUGGAGAGGGAAGGGUAAGUGUAGCUGUAUAGAUGGAGAGGGAAGGGUAAGUGUAGCUGUAUAGAUGGAGAGGGAAGGGUAAGUGUAGCUGUAUAGAUGGGGAGGGAAGGUGUAGCUGUAUAGAUGGUGGAGGGAAGGGUAAGUGUAGCUGUAUAGAUGGAGAGGGAAGGGUAAGUGUAGCUGUAUAGAUGGAGAGGGAAGGGUAAGUGUAGCUGUAUAGAUGGAGAGGGAAGGGUAAGUGUAGCUGUAUAGAUGGAGAGGGAAGGGUAAGUGUAGCUGUAUAGAUGGAGAGGGAAGGGUAAGUGUAGCUGUAUAGA
This 1589-nucleotide long non-coding RNA is filed under the name Salmo salar (Atlantic salmon). Its description in RNAcentral is "lncRNA (ENSSSAG00000117292.1)". Lineage: Eukaryota; Metazoa; Chordata; Actinopteri; Salmoniformes; Salmonidae. The record is from RNAcentral.